RNAcentral lists this ribosomal RNA (253 nucleotides) under uncultured bacterium. RNAcentral's name for it is "partial 16S ribosomal RNA". It matches the Rfam family "Bacterial small subunit ribosomal RNA", at positions 524 to 776 of the family's 1533-position model. The record is from RNAcentral.
UACGGAGGGUGCAAGCGUUAUCCGGAUUCACUGGGUUUAAAGGGUGCGUAGGCGGGGAUAUAAGUCAGUGGUGAAAGCUCCGAGCUUAACUUGGAAACUGCCAUUGAUACUGUAUAUCUUGAAUAUCGUAGAGGUUAGCGGAAUGUUGCAUGUAGCGGUGAAAUGCUUAGAUAUGUUACAGAACACCAAUUGCGAAGGCAGCUAACUAUGCGAUGAUUGACGCUGAGGCACGAAAGCGUGGGGAGCAAACAGG